Molecule: non-coding RNA, 233 nt
Organism: Cinara cedri
Lineage: Eukaryota; Metazoa; Arthropoda; Insecta; Hemiptera; Aphididae
Source: the annotation of a GenBank genome assembly
AUCAAAAUUCACUCUACACCAUCAUCACAUAGACGCUGCAUCUUGUGAUAGUCUAUUAUCAAGACAGCUUCUAUAAUAUUGGUAGUAUACUCAUCAGGCUUUAUAGGUGAAGUGCAUAUAUGUUGUACAGUAAAAUUUCAUAGAACGGUCACUGAAAGGACAGGGAAUAAUGACCGCUAUUUAGAGGUGACUGUCCUUUAGAGGUUUUCUCAUAACACUUGACGAGACCAAAA